UACCAGUACCCCGAGUGGUCGGGACGAUUAUUGGGCCUAAAGCAUCCGUAGCCGGCCUUACAAGUCCUCCGUUAAAUCCAGCUGCUUAACAGAUGGGCUGCGGAGGAUACUAUAAGACUAGGAGGCAGGAGAGGCAAGCGGUACUCAGUGGGUAGGGGUAAAAUCCGUUGAUCCAUUGAAGACCACCAGUGGCGAAGGCGGCUUGCCAGAAUGCGCUCGACGGUGAGGGAUGAAAGCUGGGGGAGCAAACAGG
Molecule: ribosomal RNA, 253 nt
Filed under: uncultured bacterium
Lineage: Bacteria
Description: partial 16S ribosomal RNA
Rfam family: Archaeal small subunit ribosomal RNA
Source: RNAcentral